Molecule: unclassified non-coding RNA, 230 nt
Filed under: Hevea brasiliensis (rubber tree)
Lineage: Eukaryota; Viridiplantae; Streptophyta; Magnoliopsida; Malpighiales; Euphorbiaceae
Source: RNAcentral
AUUGUUACAGGGUGGGCAACUGCAGCUCUGUACCUUUGGUCUCUGGUUGCUCCUAUUAUGUUCCCAGACAGGGAGUUCUGAAUCUCUUCUGGGCGAUACUAAACAUUAUUCGGUUGAGGGGCUCAAGGUAUUGUGUAUAUGUAAUGUAAUGGCAACUUUCAGAAAUGCUUGUCAAAUGGAAUCUCUAUAAAUACUUCUAUAAUAUCAUAAAACACGUGUUAUUGCUUUCA